RNAcentral lists this long non-coding RNA (565 nucleotides) under Marmota monax (woodchuck). The record is from RNAcentral. Lineage: Eukaryota; Metazoa; Chordata; Mammalia; Rodentia; Sciuridae.
CUCAGCCAGACAGGGCCUCCCUGCCCUCUUGUCUAGCAGGGGUAACAGCUAGAUCUGGCCUCAGAGUUGCCCACUGGCCUCAGCAUGGCCUCCCUGAUGUCCAGUCUCCACAGCCAGCCGAGUAGGCAAGCUGCCCUCUAGUCAUGGUGAAGCCUCGUGCGACAGAGGACUCCCUGCCCGGGUGCCUCGCCCUCUGCAGGGGCUUGCCCCCAUGUGCCCAUGCCACCUUCCUAGGCCAGGCAGGCAGACCCCUGGCUUGGCCAUAGCCUGGCCCUGGCCAGGCCAUCUUUCAGACGUGAUCUGGUGGCCUCCAUCCUGGUGCUAAGGCCCAGAGGUGCCUUGGCCACGGCUGGGGCCAGCCGCACGCGGACAUUACAGGACCUUACGUUGCAGUGGGGCACGAGCAAGGGGCCCGAGGCCCUGGUGCUUCCGACAGGCCCGAGGGCCGUCUGACCUUUCCGGCCACGGGGCAGCGGUUGCGUGAGCAGGAACAAUCGCCCCAGUGUGCGAGGCACAAGCGCCCUUUUCUUCCUCCCCGGGCCGGCGCACACAGCUCCCAGCCUGG